UACGUAGGCAGCAAGCGUUGUUCGGAAUUACUGGGCGUAAAGAGUGUGUAGGCGGUGCUCUAAGUCUGUUGUGAAAUCUCCCGGCUUAACUGGGAGGGUGCGGCGGAAACUGGAGUGCUCGAGUGUGGGAGAGGUAAGCGGAAUUCCUGGUGUAGCGGUGAAAUGCGUAGAUAUCGGGAGGAACACCGGUGGCGAAGGCGGUUCUCUGGGCCUGUACUGACGCUGAGGAGCGAAAGCGUGGGGAGCGAACAGG
Molecule: ribosomal RNA, 253 nt
Filed under: uncultured bacterium
Lineage: Bacteria
Description: partial 16S ribosomal RNA
Rfam family: Bacterial small subunit ribosomal RNA
Source: RNAcentral